Pecten maximus is the source of this 298-nucleotide long non-coding RNA. RefSeq lists it as uncharacterized. The record is from RefSeq and is a predicted model, not a curated record. The transcript is spliced from 3 exons. Lineage: Eukaryota; Metazoa; Mollusca; Bivalvia; Pectinida; Pectinidae.
ACACAGGCAACAAAACCUUUCAAGGUUUUUUCCAGAGACAGGGAGGCUAGGAAGGGCGUUGUUGCCUCUUCAUUUGAAGAUUUGAAAGAUGGUUGCAAAGAGAAGUUUGUACUGGAUUCAACGGCUAGGAUUACUUUUGUGCUGGAAGAAGAUGGCACAGAAAUUGACACAUCCUAUUUCAAAACGCUUCCGGCAAACACAAAACUCAUCCUACUUGUAGAUGAUGAUGUUUGGCAACCAGUUGCAGGUAGCUCUACAUCUUGCAGUGGUUCAAGCUCUGCAGACAGCACUCUUUGUA